UUAUGCUACCCUAAGAGUGAAGGGGGCGUGGGGUUUAGAGAUUUAUACUCCUUCAACUUGGCAAUGCUAUCAAAACAGUGCUGGAGGUUGAUCACAUGUCCUGAAUCUUUGUGUGCUAGAGUGUUCAAAGCAAAAUAUUUCCCAAAUGGGAGUCUACUCCAAGCUAGCUUAAAAAAUGGAGCAUCGUUUACUUGGCAAAGUAUCAUGAAAGGAUUAGAGACCUUCAAGCUGGGAUACAUAUGGAGAAUUGGGACAGGAGAGCAUGUGAACAUUUGGAGGGGCCCGUGGAUCCCAGCUAGCCCGGACAGGAAGGUGAUAUCAUUGAGAGGCCACUCUAUUCUUUCCACUGUUCAAGAGCUCAUCGACCCCAACACCGGUUCAUGGGAUGAAGACUUGCUUCGGUCGAUCCUAAAUCUGGUAGAUGUUAACAGGAUCUUACAAAUCACGUUAAACUACAAUUCCUUUGAUGACUUUAUAGCAUGGCACCCUGAUCGGAAAGGGAUGUCCGCACAGCAUACCGUAUUCAGUGGAUUCGAACUUUUGGGGCUCAAGCAACUGCACCGACACAUCCAAACAGAUCGAAUACACCGGCAGUGUGGAGUGUACUCUGGAAACUUUACGUCCCACGUAAAAUCCAAUUUUUUGCUGGAGAGUGCUGCACGGGAUAUUGCCGCUUAA
Molecule: ribosomal RNA, 678 nt
Filed under: Triticum aestivum (bread wheat)
Lineage: Eukaryota; Viridiplantae; Streptophyta; Magnoliopsida; Poales; Poaceae
Description: partial small subunit ribosomal RNA
Source: RNAcentral